AAUCAACGCUGGCGGCGUGCCUCAGACAUGCAAGUCGAACGAUUAAAGCUCUCUUCGGAGAGUGCAUAAAGUGGCGCACGGGUGAGUAACACGUAAGUAAUCUACCUUCGAGUGGGGAAUAACGUCCGGAAACGGACGCUAAUACCGCAUAAUGCAGCGGCAUCGCAAGAUGACAGUUGUUAAAGGAGCAAUUCGCUUGAAGAGGAGCUUGCGGCAGAUUAGCUAGUUGGUAAGGUAACGGCUUACCAAGGCUACGAUCUGUAACCGGUCUAAGAGGACGGUCGGUCACACUGACACUGAAUAACGGGUCAGACUCCUACGGGAGGCAGCAGUCGGGAAUUUUGGGCAAUGGGCGAAAGCCUGACCCGGCAACGCCGCGUGAAGGAUGAAGUAUUUCGGUAUGUAAACUUCGAAAGAAUAGGAAGAAUAAAUGACGGUACUAUUUAU
Molecule: ribosomal RNA, 447 nt
Filed under: uncultured bacterium
Lineage: Bacteria
Description: bacterial SSU rRNA
Rfam family: Bacterial small subunit ribosomal RNA
Source: RNAcentral